CGUCAAUGAACGCACCGCAGUAGUGUGAUGUUGCGUCAGUUGAAACGUCUUUUUUAUUACUUCUCCGAUGCUGUACAGGCACCACAUCCUAGUUUUCCUAAGUUAAUGCUGUGCGUGAAUGCAUAAAGUACCACAGCAUAAAGCCUUAUAAAGACCACAGUUUACCAGUGCUUGCUGCCGCUUAUUGACCAAAUGCACCAAACAGAGGACAACUUGCCGUGUUCUUUGACUUGAACACACAUCUACUUGUAUACCUUUGAUCGCUCCAAACCAGUGCAUCCUUGGAGAAAUCUCAACACCUUAAGAACCCUCUCCGUUUCAGUGACUUUUACCUUCAUUGCAGGAGUGAUUCUUGAUUCUUUCUCCAGUUUCUCACCUCAGGUCUUUGCUUUUCUUUUCAUCACAGCCGCAAAAUAAGGCAAAUGGAGCCAAAGGAAGUUGCCAGCGGCAGCAUUUCGAUGAAGAAGCUGACAAACACUCUUGAAUACAAGAAAUAACUCACAGCAAAACACCAAGGUGGCGUCCGUGUUGAUCCCGCUACCACAAUCACGUCUUCAACGAAGAUGCACGUCGACCUAAAAGAUAGCGCCAUGCCAGAUCCCACCUGGUGGGGUAAGGAUGAUUCCGAGAAAGGUGAGGGAUCACACGGACUUUCACCUGUAUAACGCUUUGACACUGUUAGCACAUUUACCUACUGGUGACGCAGCAUCGCUAUCUUGCUCAAAGAAUACUUUGACAUGGUCACAGGAGGGCAAAAGAUCGAACCAACAACCUUCAGGUUGGAAGCCAGCCCAUCCCUGAGCUUUAGUCACACACAUCAUCAACCCCAAUGUUCAAGCGCGUCUGAACGUUUGUCGAUUAAUUGCUCAGACGUGAGAGAAUGUGGUCACAUGAGACCAGAUUGACAUCAACUCCAGAGAAAUUCAAGAACACCAUCCCCACUGUCAAACACACAGUUGGAAACCGUCAGUUUGACCAGGCCAUGUAUCACUGAACACUGAAAAUGGGAUUUGGAGAGUAUCAGUAAAGAGGAGUGGACCAACCUCCAACUCUGAUGAAAGAAGAAGAACUGCCAACAAAGGUUUCCCCACCAGGGAUCCACUUACUCAAUUGACAUCCUGGCCACAGAUUUCAGGGAACUGUAGCCAGCUGCUGUGAAGUUGUCUCGGUAUCGUUCCAUCUUGAUGGCUUCCAGCCACUCUGCCACUGAGUGGAGAGCAGCAAAAUCCAGUGUGCUCUGAUCUAACAGGGGUCUAGCUGGUCUGCGGGAUGAGAACAUGAGGGUGUUGACGGGAAUUGGGUAAGAAAGAGAGAAAAAGGCAACUGACAUCUGGACUUUUUUGGCUGAAUGUUUCCCAAACAGAAGCAAAACAACACCAUAUGGACGAAAGCAGGGGUGCCCAAACUUCUGCAUCUCAGCUUUGUGAUAUACUGCAAGUGAAAUGCUACUAAAAUUUUCGCCCAGUUUAAUCUGUUACUGGUUUUCUUGUUAAAUUAUAUUUCCAGAAUGUGCCGCGGUCCAAUAAAAAAACAGCUGCGGGCCACAAAUGGCACCCGGGCCACGCUUUGGACUCUCCUGGGCUAACGUAUUGAGAGUGUUUUUUUGUCCAUUCAUCAGCCGCGUUGGAGGAAAGAUCUCGGGUCCUCAUCACCUGCAACAAAUACUGCUGAAGAGAAUUCCACAUCUCAGAUCCAAAAACACUAAAACACCAACAGUUACAAGCCAGUGGCAUCUGAUGAAGACACUGGAGAGGCUGGUACUCAGUUAUCUAUGCCAACUGGUGGGACUCUCUGUGGACCCGCUGCAGUUUGCCAGCCAGCCUGGCAUCCGAGUAGAGGACACCGUUCCAACCUAGAGGCACCGUGAGGAUGAUGUUCUUUGAUUUCUCCAGUGUGUUCAGCACCAUCCAUAGCUUCGCCCACUGCCAAUAAUGAGGGGCGGGAAGUGAGCCUUCUUAGGGGCCCUCCUGAGAACUUUUUAUGACUCCAUUGUGGCAUCUGCCAUCUUUCAGGGAGUAGUGUGCUGUUAGUGCUUACAUGCAAGCUCUAUCUAGUUCUGCAUACAAUGCUGCUGCUGUACUCCAGGUGUUGUUCACAUCUGCAUAAUGGGAUGUAGUAUUUAUCUCUGUACAGUUCUGUACACUGCAUCAUAGCCUGGUGUAUGUAAGCACAAAGAUAUUCUUAGAUCGGAUUGGAGUUUUCUGAUACCGAUACUUCGUAUUGUGUGCUAUUUUUCUCAAAUGAAAAUAUGAUCACCCUUCACUAAAGUACAUCGCAUUAGAACCAGACAAAGAAACAUAAAUGAUGUUUGUUUUGGUGUCCUCACCUUGUACAUGUCCCAGCUGGCGUUUUCAGUGUGGUUGGGUUCCGGAUCAUCUUGUCGAGAAUGCUGACUAUCUGAUCAAAUUUGGGACGAUCUCCUCUGUCCGUCUGCCAGCAAUCCAACAUAAGCUGAUGAAGGCCUGGGGGACAGUCCAUCGGAGCUGGAAGACGGUAGCCCUCCUCUAGAGCUUUGAUGACCUGGACGCCGGAAACAAGUUUGCCUCUGUUACAUUUCUCUGCCGUCUCAUUCAAAUUCAGGUGAGGCCACAGUUACACUCUGCAAAUGUCUACACUGCAGAAACAGGACACACAUGAACUCUUGGUAUUAUAUUACAUUAUAUAUUCUACCUACACUGUGUAUUAUAUAUAUGUAUAUAUAUAUAUAUAUAUGUAUUCUGGUAACUUAUAUAUAAUUAGAAUUUCUUUUAUACAUUCUUUAUUUUUUUAAAUAUAUAUUUUCAAAUGUAUAUUUUUUAAGAUAAAGCUAUAUGUUAUAUGUUAUAUUUCAGCUUUUCAUUGCGCCUUUUUGCUCUGUUUUUCACAU
This is a long non-coding RNA of Dunckerocampus dactyliophorus (ringed pipefish), 2866 nucleotides long. RefSeq lists it as uncharacterized. The transcript is spliced from 7 exons. The record is from RefSeq and is a predicted model, not a curated record. NCBI's taxonomy places the organism in Eukaryota, Metazoa, Chordata, Actinopteri, Syngnathiformes, Syngnathidae.